RNAcentral lists this long non-coding RNA (570 nucleotides) under Homo sapiens (human). RNAcentral describes it as "long non-coding RNA NONHSAT202862.1". Lineage: Eukaryota; Metazoa; Chordata; Mammalia; Primates; Hominidae. The record is from RNAcentral.
GGCGGAUCGUGGUGGCUGCGCUUGCGAGGACCCUGAGGUAGAUUGGGUGGUUUCAACAGGAACGCAUCCACUGUCUGAGAGUUUAAACUUGAUUUUGUGAGGGGACGAACAGCGUGACAAUUAAAAGAAGAUCUGGGAAUCAAAAGCUUCCUGAGGCCUUCACCAGAAGCAGAUGCUGGUGCCGUGCUUCUACAGCCUGCAGAACUGAAGGACUUUACAGCUUCUCUUUCGCAUAUCCAAAUUGCCAGCAUCACCGCUCUUGCACUCCAAGCCAUUAUUAAGUAAAGUAAAGAACACAAACACUGUGAUACUGCUACACUUGAUCUGAUAACCAAGAAGUCUACUAAGUGACUAACAGAAGAGAAGACAUGGAGAAGAGGAGGGAGUAGUUGUGACCGUGGAGGCAGAGAAUGGAGUAAUGUGAUCAUAAAUCAAGGAAUGCUGACAGCCACUAAAGCUGGAGAAGGCCAAGGACAGAUAUUCAAUCCUCCCGUAGAAGUACAGCCCUGCUAAUGCAUUGAUUUUGGACUUCUGGCCUCAGAACUGUAAGAGAAUAAAUUUCUAUUGUUU